UACGGAGGAUGCAAGCGUUAUCCGGAUUCAUUGGGUUUAAAGGGUGCGCAGGUUGUUUGAUAAGUCAGUGGUGAAAGUCUGUCGCUUAACGGUAGGAUUGCCAUUGAUACUGUUAGACUUGAAUAUGGAUGAGGUAGGCGGAAUGUGUAGUGUAGCGGUGAAAUGCAUAGAUAUUACACAGAACACCGAUUGCGAAGGCAGCUUACUAAUCCAUCAUUGACGCUGAGGCACGAAAGCGUGUGGAUCAAA
Molecule: ribosomal RNA, 249 nt
Filed under: uncultured prokaryote
Description: partial 16S ribosomal RNA
Rfam family: Bacterial small subunit ribosomal RNA
Source: RNAcentral